Molecule: ribosomal RNA, 467 nt
Filed under: uncultured bacterium
Lineage: Bacteria
Description: partial 16S ribosomal RNA
Rfam family: Bacterial small subunit ribosomal RNA
Source: RNAcentral
GACGAACGCUGGCGGCGUGCUUAACACAUGCAAGUCGAACGGAAAGGCCCUGCUUUUGUGGGUGCUCGAGUGGCGAACGGGUGAGUAACACGUGAGUAACCUGCCCUUGACUUUGGGAUAACUUCAGGAAACUGGGGCUAAUACCGGAUAGGAGCCCCUGCUGCAUGGUGGGGGUUGGAAAGCUUCGGCGGUUGGGGAUGGACUCGCGGCUUAUCAGCUUGUUGGUGGGGUAGUGGCUUACCAAGGCUUUGACGGGUAGCCGGCCUGAGAGGGUGACCGGCCACAUUGGGACUGAGAUACGGCCCAGACUCCUACGGGAGGCAGCAGUGGGGAAUAUUGCACAAUGGGCGGAAGCCUGAUGCAGCAACGCCGCGUGCGGGAUGACGGCCUUCGGGUUGUAAACCGCUUUCGCCUGUGACGAAGCGUGAGUGACGGUAAUGGGUAAAGAAGCACCGGCUAACUACGUG